CGGGAAGCUAGUCAGCGUGUGGUACUGGGCCAAUAUGCGCUAGCUAGGGUUAAGAUUGCCAAGGGUUGGGUUCGACAUAUUUCUUCGAUUUCGUCAUAAGCAAGUUGUCUCAUCCGACCCGUACCAACUUGGCUCCUCACCUCGUCUGCACCUUACUUGUCUCUAGCUACGCAAGUCAAGCAUGGCCUGGAGCUCGAGGUCAAGCUAGCAAUACCACCACGACUUGAUCCAUCUCUGCAUGCCAACUAUAGAUCGUGAUACUAUAGAAGCAGAAGUACUCCCUCCGUCUGGGUUUAAAAGGGCGGGUUUAAAAGGCCUGGGAGCCAAAACACAGAGACCAAGGAGAAAUGAAAGCCAAUUCUUGACCGUGGCAGCAACCAAUUAGAGCCUGAGAGUUAAGGCGAGUGAGUAGUAUUGGUCCUCUAUGAUCGAAAAGUUUCCUUCUCUCUCUUAGGUAAACACGCAUGCAGCUCAUACUCCACCUCUUAUUGGUCCAUCCUUUGGUCAUUACUUCAUGCAUGCAUGCAUGCAAUACUAACUUGUAUUAAUAACUUGCUUAGAGAACCGACACAUGGGCCUUAGAAAUAGGGACGUGGCUAGCUGGCUCAAGGGCCC
RNAcentral lists this long non-coding RNA (615 nucleotides) under Hordeum vulgare. RNAcentral describes it as "long non-coding RNA (HVUL_LNC016338)". The record is from RNAcentral. Lineage: Eukaryota; Viridiplantae; Streptophyta; Magnoliopsida; Poales; Poaceae.